UAGGAAUAAAUUAUUAAAUAUAUUCCAAAAGGAUUUCUGGUUUCAGCACUGGCAUGUAAAGAGCUUGGAAGUCAUCAUUCCAAACAUCCUUAAGGCAAGCAAAUGCUGGGAAAACUGAAAUUCAGUGACUUUCUUGGACCAUUGGAGAACUGAGGUCACAUAGCAACCCAUCACACCUGAAUCUGGAUAGAGGGGCACAUCCCAGGAGUCAUAGCCAAGAUCUGCUUACCUGGAUCGGAAGAUGCUGGAGCCAUAAACUUUUGGAGAAAAAUAUUGUCAUUCAUGUGGAACAACAAAAAAAUCACUAAAAUAAAACAUCUGGUAAAAAUAGGCCAAUAUAUUAAGAUCUAAGGGGAAGCACUCCUGAUGUCCUGCUUUUUCUUCAUGAAAGGUCAAAUUCAUCACAGAACUUCAUAUAUUUAUUGUGAAGAAACUGGGGAACAAAGAAGCUAUAUCUUUUUUCAGUGUCACAUAGACUCUAAAUGUUGGAUCUGAUUUGUUUAACUUCAGGCAAGAUCUGACCCUUCUUUGCACAUGUUGGAGUUUUUGCUUUUGGCCUUUGUGGAUCUUAACUCUAUCAUACGUGGAAUUCUCUCGACUCCCAAAAUUAUGCUCAAAGGCAAAUUUGUGGAAUUCCUUAUACGCAGACACUCUCCUCAACCUCAGAUCUACUUUCAAUAGUAAAGAAAGACAAUUGCAUGUUUGCAACAUCUUUCGAGAAAUUUUGGCUUCCAAGGACACCAUCAAAGUUUUACCUUCAUAAGAAUUAACAUCUUUGAAUACACAUCAUCAUUGGAAGAAAGAAAGGAGGCAAAAUGUCAAAUUCUAUAUUUAUUUUUGAGUUUGUAUGACAGGAAUAUAAUUUCUCAAGACAACACAUGGAACUCAAAAAAAGUUCCAUACAAGUGGAAGCCAAAUCAGAGAAAUAUGUCAAAUUUAAUUCAUUUCAAUUCUAAUAUAUGGAGAUUUUGCUUUGUAUAAAGUAUUGUUAGUGGAAAGGCAAGAAAAAUACAAUUCCUACUCUAAUAGAGCUUACCGUAUCACUAGAAGUAUACAAAUAGCUAAGAAUAAAUCAAAAUGUUAAUUCUACAGGACUAGGUGUCAAGUUUUUAAGAAUAUAAAGAGAGAUCUCCAACUUAAUAGGGGUAUCAGAAAGGGCUUUAAGAACUGAGAGUUAAUUUAAAGGAUAUAUAUUUUCAACAUGGAAAAAUAACAAAAGGAGCAUGGGUGGAAGAGAACAAGCAAAUGAUCAACGGGAAAAAUUCUGUUCAGAAGCAGGGUUGAGUCUAAUCUGGCUGCCAAAAGGAUGAAAAGCAGAGAUAAAAAUGUGGGCAAAAAUUUGCAAAAGUAGUUUAGGACCAAAUCUGGCUUCAAAUGUUAUUCCGUGGUGUUUGUCUUAACUUCCGAGGUCAUUGGGAUCCUGUGUUUUGGGCAAUCAUGUGGAGAGUGAUUAUCUACUGUGUGUGUACAACAGUCCAGACUGGGCAUGGAGGCACCCACUUGGAAAGCUGUUAGAAUAGUCUCAGAAUGAGAUAAAACUGGCCUGAAUAGGGGGGUGGCAAUGAUGAAAACAGGUGGAUCUAAAUGAUCUAACAUAGGUGGAAUUUAUAAAAGUUUGCAACUAGUAGACACGAUGGUCAAGAGGGAGGCAAGAAUAAAGGGGAGGUUAGCAUACAGUUGUAAAACUGAGUCUGGAGCCUGGGAGAAAGGUUAAGAUUAAUGAUAAAAACCUAUCUCAAAAUACACCACAUACUUUCUUUAUGAAUCUUACUUUUAAUCUGGGUAUUCAUCUGAGGUUAUUGUUUAACACUUAGGAAGAAACCUCAAUGAUUUCGUGUGUGUGUGUGUGUGUGCACAUGUGAGGAAUACUGGCUGUGAGCUAACAUCUGUUGCCAAUCUUCCUCUUUUUGCUUGAGGAAGAUUGUCACUGAGCUAACACCUGUGCAAAUCUUCCUCUAUUUUAUGUGGGAUGCCGCCACAGCAUGGCUUGAUGAGCAGUGCUAGGUCCCUGCACAGAUUCUAAACCUGCAAAUCCCAGGCCGCUGUAGUGGAGAGUGUGAACUUAACCAUUAUGCCACCAAGUCGGCCUCACAAAUUAUUUUUCAAAAUUAAUCUACUUGUGAUUCUUAUACAUAUUGGCAGUAUGGAUCCAACUUCCUGGAUGAAAGCUUUAUCAACAUUAUAGGUUUGGCUAAGUGUCCAUUGAUGGAUGAAUGAAUAAAGAAAAUGUAGUGUAUCUGUAUACAACGAAAUACUAUUCAGUCAUAAAAAAGAAGGAAAUCCUGCAAUUUGCAACAACAUGGAUGGACCUUGAGGACAUUAUGCUAAGUGAAAUAAGUCAGACAGAGAAAGACAAAUACAAUAUGAUCUCACUUAUAUGUGCAAUCUGAAAAAUAUUGUUGGUUGCCAGAGGCAGGGGGUGGGAGGUAGGUCAAAAUGGGUGAAGGAGGUAAAAAGGUAUAAACUUCCAAUCAUGAAAUAAAUGAGUCCUGGGGAUGUAAUUUACAGCAUGGUGACUAUAGUUAAUAAUACUGUAUUGUAUAUUUGAAAGUUGCUGAGAGAGUAGAUCUUAAAAGUUCUCAUCACAACAACAAAAAAAUUGUAGCUAUGCAAGGUAAUGGAUGUUAACUAGAUUCAUGGUG
Molecule: long non-coding RNA, 2642 nt
Organism: Equus caballus (horse)
Lineage: Eukaryota; Metazoa; Chordata; Mammalia; Perissodactyla; Equidae
Source: Ensembl